GAGUAACACGUGGAUAACCUACCUAUAAGACUGGGAUAACUUCGGGAAACCGGAGCUAAUACCGGAUAAUAUUUUGAACCGCAUGGUUCAAAAGUGAAAGACGGUCUUGCUGUCACUUAUAGAUGGAUCCGCGCUGCAUUAGCUAGUUGGUAAGGUAACGGCUUACCAAGGCAACGAUGCAUAGCCGACCUGAGAGGGUGAUCGGCCACACUGGAACUGAGACACGGUCCAGACUCCUACGGGAGGCAGCAGUAGGGAAUCUUCCGCAAUGGGCGAAAGCCUGACGGAGCAACGCCGCGUGAGUGAUGAAGGUCUUCGGAUCGUAAAACUCUGUUAUUAGGGAAGAACAUAUGUGUAAGUAACUGUGCACAUCUUGACGGUACCUAAUCAGAAAGCCACGGCUAACUACGUGCCAGCAGCCGCGGUAAUACGUAGGUGGCAAGCGUUAUCCGGAAUUAUUGGGCGUAAAGCGCGCGUAGGCGGUUUUUUAAGUCUGAUGUGAAAGCCCACGGCUCAACCGUGGAGGGUCAUUGGAAACUGGAAAACUUGAGUGCAGAAGAGGAAAGUGGAAUUCCAGGUGUAGCGGUGAAAUGCGCAGAGAUAUGGAGGAACACCAGUGGCGAAGGCGACUUUCUGGUCUGUAACUGACGCUGAUGUGCGAAAGCGUGGGGAUCAAACAGGAUUAGAU
RNAcentral lists this ribosomal RNA (688 nucleotides) under Staphylococcus aureus. RNAcentral's name for it is "bacterial SSU rRNA". It matches the Rfam family "Bacterial small subunit ribosomal RNA", at positions 108 to 783 of the family's 1533-position model. Lineage: Bacteria; Bacillati; Bacillota; Bacilli; Caryophanales; Staphylococcaceae. The record is from RNAcentral.